RNAcentral lists this long non-coding RNA (2545 nucleotides) under Oryzias javanicus (javanese ricefish). RNAcentral describes it as "lncRNA (ENSOJAG00000020154.1)". The record is from RNAcentral. Lineage: Eukaryota; Metazoa; Chordata; Actinopteri; Beloniformes; Adrianichthyidae.
AUAUAUAUAUAUAUAUACUAUUUUUUUUUUUUUUCCAAAUGAAAAUAAAUUCAUGCUACAGUUAGAGUUGAUUUAGCUGUGUGUGUGUGUUCUGCAGAAGACUCCAGAGGCAGAAGCAACAGAGAUGUUUAUAGCUGAUCAGAAGGGGGAGCAGUCUCAAGGUACAGUAUUGUCUUUUUGAGCCUGAUAUAAUGCUUUCCCUAUUUGAUUAAACCUGCAUUAUCUUUAUACUUACAGAACAUGAAAUUGUACCUGACACCCAACACAGAGCUGAGUUAAAAACGUAAAAAAAAUUCUUAACAUUGUUACUGUUGUGCAUUCAAAUAGUUGGAUGGUAAAAUUUAUUUAUUUAUUUCAAAUACAGAUCAUCUAAUAUGAGCAAAUUGUCCAUUUCGGAAAUACUAACAAUUCCAACGCAGAAGGUUUACUCUUUGCCUCAACAAGGUAAACAAAACUGAUACAACUUUUUGUGUCAAUUAAAAUUGUUUUGCCAAUUUAUUCUAAAUUAUAUAUAUAUAUUUUAUAUCUUUAUAUAUCAUUCAGGUUUGGUAGGACCACAACCCUCUUCAUGCUCAGGACAAAAACAUUCAGUUUCCCACCCAGACUUAGCCAUCCAAAAGCAAUUUCAUAGUGAGCUCACCCUGCGCCUGCAGCAGGUCCAACAUGAAAGGAACACAGAUCCUCCACUUCAGCAACCAGUUAUGCUACUGAGUAAAACGCCCAAUACCAGAGGGCGCUUAAAAGACAGAAGCUCUGGAAAUCUGGGUGAUUUUCCUUCUCGCGCCCCCAAGAUGGAGCCGACUGAAAGAAAGAACCACACUAAGGAAGAAUGCAAAGGCAAUCUGGAGACUGUCUCAGCAGAAGUCAAGAGUUCCACAGCCAGAACAACACACAAGAGAAUGGGAGAUGAGAAUAAAACUAAGAUGACCCUUUCAAGUAACGAGAAAAGAAACGCGGAGGUGGCUGGCAAUAUGGUGAAGUUCAUUUCUAGCCACUAUGGUAAAAACACCCAAAGCACAGGAGAUGCAGUCCCUCCUGCAGUCAGUCCCACUCAGAAAUGUAUUCCCCCUUCUACCAACAGGUAUUCACUCCUUUUUUCUGUUUCUGUUUUUAGUAAAUAAUUAAUUAGAUUGUGAUGUAACUCUUCUUUUUUUGUGAUAGACCAAAUUUCAACAUGAGCUGGUUAUCAAAAGAUAAAGUGAGUAAUCAUCACUCAUGUUAUUGAUGUGUUACUUUUAACUAUUCAUCCUUGCUGUAAUUGUUAACAUUAAAAUGUAUUUAUUUAAAAUAGGGGAAAAUACCUGGAGCUCUGAGCUUUACAGCGCCCAACCAAAAAACCACAACAAACUCAAUCAGGCAUAGGUAGUAUAUGUCAGAAAAAAUGUUACAGCUGUAUGGAUAGUUUGAUAAAUAUUUGUAUGCACAUUCUUUAUUUCCUGCAGUAAAGAUGUCUUUGAAUUCAACCUUGACUCUCCUCUCAGUGUUGGGGUAAAUACUUGUCACGUUUGGUAAAUAGUGUCAUUUAAAAACUCAGAUAAUUCAAGUCUCUUUUAUUGUACUUUAGAGGAAGAACAAACCCCCCGCGGAAAUCUCUGCCAUUUCUAGCAGGUAAGGCAGACAGCUAAAAAGUAUGCAUGAUAAUAUAAAUGGACAUUUUCUCAGUUUUAUAUCUUUUUUGUCAUUUAACAGAUCCUCUGUUGUCAGCACAACCAAGAAAGCAAGGAGACCUGAGACUAAAGUAUUCUGCAAUUCUGCAUUUUACCUUACAAUCAUAUAAUCAUAUUUAUCUGCUCAACAUGGAAAAUCAAUAAAUCACUGAAAUCUUUUUAUUUCAGGGUAAACCCAAAAGUAAAAAGCAUUUGUUUAGUGACACAGAAGUGGAAACUACCAGGACAGAGGUCAGCUGGCUGACAGAAUCUAUCAUGAAACCCAAGAAAAAAGUGAAUGAAUAUCAAAGACAAGCUGUCAGAAAACCCAGAGCGAACUCCCUUCAACCUGGGCGUAUGGUUUAAAGCCACAUUUACACACACUCACAUUUUUUCACAUAGACUGAAUGGUAUUAAAGCAAAUACUUACAUUAGGUGAACUUUUUUCCAGAACCGUCUCCAGAUUUGCUCCCACCCACUUUGAAUCCCGUAAAAGUUGAUAAGAAACCCAAAACGGUAAAGUAACAAUACAUGUUAGGAAUGUUCCUUAGACCCAGUAACGCACUAAUGCUCCUGGCCACUAUGUGUCACUGUUGUAUCAGAAGAAUCCUGGUUUGAGGAAGGCAGCGGGUCAACCAAAGGAGGCAAAGAUGGUGAGGUCAACUGCAACCUCCAGCAAACCACAAGAACCUGCUAAGAGACCCAGAAGAGGUGCAGCCUUAACUAGGACUUACAGAGAGCUGCCUAGUGAUGACAGCCUGUCUGAACCAGAGAACGUUCCCACUCCAAAGGCAAGAUCAAUUUCUCCUGCAUGAUUCUGUCACACCACUAAACAACAUGUUUAUUGUUAUUAUGUCUAUGUAAUCAACCUUGAAGAAAUGUUGAUUUGCUCACAGUAU